GUCAAGCGCACCUCAUGGAGUCGUGUGCUGGCGGGGUCUGAAAGAUCUUUUCAGGUGGCUGGUGCACACGUAAUGGCGUACCAGGCGUUCUACCUUGCGUGUCUUCGCUUUGACGUUGCCAUAUGCCCAACCACGAAACGAAGGAAGACAGCCCCUGUUAUUGGAUGAUGGAUUUUCACGCCAAAAUCGCGACGUAGCCAGUCAUUCGAUGUUUCGCUUCCGUCUGCAAUCACUGACGCACAUUCAAAGUGAUGGAGGGCCGCCGUCCUGAUCGUACCUUGAAUGGCAGUCUGAUAGGGCAGUCGAAGCGAAGCAGUUUAGCGGCCAGGAUAUUCGUCAGCAACCACAUCAGCGCGCAAGCUACAGCGCAGGAGUGUACAGGUAUCCAUCAACCGCCUGGCCCAAGAACGAGCCUUAGUAAGCGAUCGUCAUGUCUCUUUCAUUGUGACCUUCACGAAACGAGGAGUGGGCCCAAAUAUCCUUUGUGUUGGCAUGAGAGCCUGAGAAGUCGGACUGUGUUGUCUAUGAUAACCUGCCGAGACCUUCUUAGCGAGGUGCAACAGCACCGAACCGCUCUGAUACCUGCUACGAAUCAGAGGAGACCCCUGCGCACCUACUGAUCAACGUCGACAACACUU
Molecule: long non-coding RNA, 638 nt
Organism: Dermacentor albipictus
Lineage: Eukaryota; Metazoa; Arthropoda; Arachnida; Ixodida; Ixodidae
Source: RefSeq, a predicted model, not a curated record